UACGGAGGGAGCUAGCGUUAUUCGGAAUUACUGGGCGUAAAGCGCACGUAGGCGGCUUUGUAAGUUAGAGGUGAAAGCCUGGAGCUCAACUCCAGAACUGCCUUUAAGACUGCAUCGCUUGAAUCCAGGAGAGGUGAGUGGAAUUCCGAGUGUAGAGGUGAAAUUCGUAGAUAUUCGGAAGAACACCAGUGGCGAAGGCGGCUCACUGGACUGGGUAUUGACGCUGAGGUGCGAAAGCGUGGGGAGCAAACAGGG
RNAcentral lists this ribosomal RNA (255 nucleotides) under uncultured bacterium. Its description in RNAcentral is "partial 16S ribosomal RNA". It matches the Rfam family "Bacterial small subunit ribosomal RNA", at positions 524 to 777 of the family's 1533-position model. The record is from RNAcentral.